CCUACGGGCGGCAGCAGUGGGGAAUAUUGGACAAUGGGCGAAAGCCUGAUCCAGCCAUGCCGCGUGUGUGAAGAAGGCCUUCGGGUUGUAAAGCACUUUCAGUGGGGAAGAAAGCCUUGGGGCUAAUACCCUCGAGGAAGGACAUCACCCACAGAAGAAGCACCGGCUAACUCCGUGCCAGCAGCCGCGGUAAUACGGAGGGUGCGAGCGUUAAUCGGAAUUACUGGGCGUAAAGCGCGCGUAGGCGGUCUGAUAAGCCGGUUGUGAAAGCCCCGGGCUCAACCUGGGAACGGCAUCCGGAACUGUCAGGCUAGAGUGCAGGAGAGGAAGGUAGAAUUCCCGGUGUAGCGGUGAAAUGCGUAGAGAUCGGGAGGAAUACCAGUGGCGAAGGCGGCCUUCUGGACUGACACUGACGCUGAGGUGCGAAAGCGUGGGUAGCAAACAGGAUUAGAUACCCUAGUC
Molecule: ribosomal RNA, 462 nt
Filed under: Vreelandella stevensii
Lineage: Bacteria; Pseudomonadati; Pseudomonadota; Gammaproteobacteria; Oceanospirillales; Halomonadaceae
Description: partial 16S ribosomal RNA
Rfam family: Bacterial small subunit ribosomal RNA
Source: RNAcentral